ACUCCAUGUGUAGCGGUGAAAUGCGUAGAUAUAUGGAAGAACACCAGUGGCGAAGGCGGCUGUCUGGUCUGUAACUGACGCUGAGGCUCGAAAGUAUGGGUAGCAAACAGGAUUAGAUACCCUGGUAGUCCAUACCGUAAACGAUGAAUGCUAAGUGUUGGAGGGUUUCCGCCCUUCAGUGCUGCAGCUAACGCAUUAAGCAUUCCGCCUGGGGAGUACGGCCGCAAGGCUGAAACUCAAAGGAAUUGACGGGGGCCCGCACAAGCGGUGGAGCAUGUGGUUUAAUUCGAAGCUACGCGAAGAACCUUACCAGGUCUUGACAUACUAUGCAAAUCUAAGAGAUUAGACGUUCCCUUCGGGGACAUGGAUACAGGUGGUGCAUGGUUGUCGUCAGCUCGUGUCGUGAGAUGUUGGGUUAAGUCCCGCAACGAGCGCAACCCUUAUUAUCAGUUGCCAGCAUUAAGUUGGGCACUMUGGUGAGACUGCCGGUGACAAACCGGAGGAAGGUGGGGAUGACGUCAAAUCAUCAUGCCCCUUAUGACCUGGGCUACACACGUGCUACAAUGGAUGGUACAACGAGUUGCGAACUCGCGAGAGUAAGCUAAUCUCUUAAAGCCAUUCUCAGUUCGGAUUGUAGGCUGCAACUC
This 647-nucleotide ribosomal RNA is filed under the name Lactiplantibacillus plantarum. RNAcentral's name for it is "bacterial SSU rRNA". It matches the Rfam family "Bacterial small subunit ribosomal RNA", at positions 666 to 1313 of the family's 1533-position model. Lineage: Bacteria; Bacillati; Bacillota; Bacilli; Lactobacillales; Lactobacillaceae. The record is from RNAcentral.